This 253-nucleotide ribosomal RNA is filed under the name uncultured bacterium. RNAcentral's name for it is "partial 16S ribosomal RNA". It matches the Rfam family "Bacterial small subunit ribosomal RNA", at positions 524 to 776 of the family's 1533-position model. The record is from RNAcentral.
UACGAAAGGGGCCAGCGGUGUUCGGAAUUACUGGGCGUAAAGCGCACGUAGGCGGCCUUGUAUGUUGGGGGUGAAAUCCCGGGGCUCAACUCCGGAACUGCCUUCAAGACUGCAAAGCUAGAGGACGCGAGAGGUUAGCGGAAUUCCGAGUGUAGAGGUGAAAUUCGUAGAUAGUCGGAAGAACACCAGUGGCGAAGGCGGCUAACUGGCGCGUUUCUGACGCUGAGGUGCGAAAGCGUGCGGAGCAAACAGG